GGGGAAUUUUGCGCAAUGGGGGAAACCCUGAUCCAGCGACGCCGCGUGUGUGAAGAAGGCCUGCGGGUUGUAAAGCACUUUUAGUGGGGACAAAAAGCCAAGGGCUAAUACCCUUUGGUCUUGAUUUAACCCAAAGAAAAAGCACCGGCUAACUCUGUGCCAGCAGCCGCGGUAAUACAGAGGGUGCAAGCGUUAAUCGGAAUUACUGGGCGUAACGCGUGCGUAGUCGGUUAUCUAAGUCGGAUGUGAAAUCCCCGGGCUCAACCUGGGAAUUGCAUUCGAUACUGGACAGCUAGAGUUCGGCAGAGGGAAGCGGAAUUUCCGGUGUAGCGGUGAAAUGCGUAGAUAUCGGAAGGAACAUCAGUGGCGAAAGCGGCUUCCUGGACCAGAACUGACGAUCAGGCACGAAAGCGUGGGGAGCAAAC
RNAcentral lists this ribosomal RNA (425 nucleotides) under uncultured bacterium. Its description in RNAcentral is "bacterial SSU rRNA". It matches the Rfam family "Bacterial small subunit ribosomal RNA", at positions 356 to 773 of the family's 1533-position model. The record is from RNAcentral.